RNAcentral lists this ribosomal RNA (497 nucleotides) under uncultured bacterium. RNAcentral's name for it is "partial 16S ribosomal RNA". It matches the Rfam family "Bacterial small subunit ribosomal RNA", at positions 28 to 507 of the family's 1533-position model. The record is from RNAcentral.
GAUGAACGCUGGCGGCGUGCCUAAUACAUGCAAGUCGAGCGAACAGAUGAGGAGCUUGCUCCUCUGACGUUAGCGGCGGACGGGUGAGUAACACGUGGAUAACCUACCUAUAAGACUGGGAUAACUUCGGGAAACCGGAGCUAAUACCGGAUAAUAUAUUGAACCGCAUGGUUCAAUAGUGAAAGACGGUUUUGCUGUCACUUAUAGAUGGAUCCGCGCCGCAUUAGCUAGUUGGUAAGGUAACGGCUUACCAAGGCGACGAUGCGUAGCCGACCUGAGAGGGUGAUCGGCCACACUGGAACUGAGACACGGUCCAGACUCCUACGGGAGGCAGCAGUAGGGAAUCUUCCGCAAUGGGCGAAAGCUUGACGGAGCAACGCCGCGUGAGUGAUGAAGGUCUUCGGAUCUUAAAACUCUGUUAUUAGGGAAGAACAAAUGUGUAAGUAACUAUGCACGUCUUGACGGUACCUAAUCAGAAAGCCACGGCUAACUACGUG